This 496-nucleotide ribosomal RNA is filed under the name uncultured bacterium. RNAcentral describes it as "partial 16S ribosomal RNA". It matches the Rfam family "Bacterial small subunit ribosomal RNA", at positions 29 to 507 of the family's 1533-position model. The record is from RNAcentral.
ACGAACGCUGGCGGCGUGCCUAAUACAUGCAAGUAGAACGCUGAAGAGAGGAGCUUGCUCUUCUUGGAUGAGUUGCGAACGGGUGAGUAACGCGUAGGUAACCUGCCUUGUAGCGGGGGAUAACUAUUGGAAACGAUAGCUAAUACCGCAUAACAAUGGAUGACACAUGUCAUUUAUUUGAAAGGGGCAAUUGCUCCACUACAAGAUGGACCUGCGUUGUAUUAGCUAGUAGGUGAGGUAACGGCUCACCUAGGCGACGAUACAUAGCCGACCUGAGAGGGUACUCGGCCACACUGGGACUGAGACACGGCCCAGACUCCUACGGGAGGCAGCAGUAGGGAAUCUUCGGCAAUGGGGGCAACCCUGACCGAGCAACGCCGCGUGAGUGAAGAAGGUUUUCGGAUCGUAAAGCUCUGUUGUAAGUCAAGAACGAGUGUGAGAGUGGAAAGUUCACAUUGUGACGGUAGCUUACCAGAAAGGGACGGCUAACUACGUG